AAAUUGAAGAGUUUGAUCAUGGCUCAGAUUGAACGCUGGCGGCAGGCCUAACACAUGCAAGUCGAGCGGAAACGACAACAUUGAAUCUUCGGAGGAUUUGUUGGGCGUCGAGCGGCGGACGGGUGAGUAAUGCCUAGGAAAUUGCCUUGAUGUGGGGGAUAACCAUUGGAAACGAUGGCUAAUACCGCAUAAUGCCUACGGGCCAAAGAGGGGGAUCUUCGGACCUCUCGCGUCAAGAUAUG
RNAcentral lists this ribosomal RNA (242 nucleotides) under Vibrio lentus. RNAcentral describes it as "partial 16S ribosomal RNA". It matches the Rfam family "Bacterial small subunit ribosomal RNA", at positions 1 to 229 of the family's 1533-position model. The record is from RNAcentral. RNAcentral also lists the same sequence under 1 other name. Lineage: Bacteria; Pseudomonadati; Pseudomonadota; Gammaproteobacteria; Vibrionales; Vibrionaceae.